CGACCAUGACUACCCCCUGCCCACGACCAAGACUACCCCCAUGCCCACGACCAUGACUACCCCCAUGCCCACAACCAAGAAAGCUCAACUGAAGAGACAGGUGGUGAGAGUGAAGAUGACCCCAAAGGAUCAAAAUCUGAACCUCAGAGAUCUUGCUGUUCAGGACGACAUCUUACAAGAGCGUUGGACUUUACAGAAUGCUGAAACCCCCAAAUGAAGCAUCUCUGAGUGCUGGCUUUCUGGUUAGUGGUGGCGUCGUGUCCGGGGGCUGCCACCGAUGGAACCGGGGGUGCCUAAGCCAGUUCGUC
This is a long non-coding RNA of Oncorhynchus tshawytscha (Chinook salmon), 308 nucleotides long. The record is from Ensembl. NCBI's taxonomy places the organism in Eukaryota, Metazoa, Chordata, Actinopteri, Salmoniformes, Salmonidae.